AGAGCGAACGCUGGCGGCAGGCCUAACACAUGCAAGUCGAGCGGCCGUAGCAAUACGGCAGCGGCAGACGGGAGAGUAACACGUGGGAACGCGCCCUUCGGUUCGGAAUAACUCAGGGAAACUUGAGCUAAUACCGAAUACGCCCUUACGGGGAAAGAUUUAUUGCCGAAGGAACGGCCCGCGUCCGAUUAGCUAGUUGGUGAGGUAAUGGCUCACCAAGGCGACGAUCGGUAGCUGGUCUGAGAGGAUGACCAGCCUCACUGGGACUGAGACACGGCCCAGACUCCUACGGGAGGCAGCAGUGGGGAAUAUGGACAAUGGGCGCAAGCCUGAUCCAGCCAUGCCGCGUGGAUGAUGAAGGCCUUAGGGUUGUAAAGUCCGUUUUAACGGGGAAGAUAAUGACGGUACCCGUAGAAUAAGCCCGGCUAACUUCGUGCCAGCAGCCGC
RNAcentral lists this ribosomal RNA (447 nucleotides) under uncultured bacterium. Its description in RNAcentral is "SSU rRNA". It matches the Rfam family "Bacterial small subunit ribosomal RNA", at positions 26 to 518 of the family's 1533-position model. The record is from RNAcentral.